UACGUAGGGGGGCAAGCGUUGUCCGGAAUCAUUGGGCGUAAAGAGCGUGUAGGUGGCUCGGUAAGUCCGCUGUGAAAGUCCAGGGCUCAACCCUGGAAAGCCGGUGGAAACUGUCGAGCUCGAGUCCGGAAGAGGCGAGUGGAAUUCCUGGUGUAGCGGUGAAAUGCGCAGAUAUCAGGAGGAACACCAAUGGCGAAGGCAGCUCGCUGGGACGGUACUGACACUGAGACGCGAAAGCGUGGGGAGCGAACAGG
RNAcentral lists this ribosomal RNA (254 nucleotides) under uncultured bacterium. RNAcentral's name for it is "partial 16S ribosomal RNA". It matches the Rfam family "Bacterial small subunit ribosomal RNA", at positions 524 to 776 of the family's 1533-position model. The record is from RNAcentral.